This 151-nucleotide unclassified non-coding RNA is filed under the name Dactylis glomerata (orchard grass). Its description in RNAcentral is "partial external transcribed spacer". Lineage: Eukaryota; Viridiplantae; Streptophyta; Magnoliopsida; Poales; Poaceae. The record is from RNAcentral.
UGGUAGGAUAUGCAACAUUCUGGGCCGAUCCUCAAGUAAGUAGGAUGAGUUUAGCGCUCGAUUCUCGACAACCGGCUCGGCCUCCGCCUCAGCCUGGCCCAGCAAGUGGACGGGCGGGCAAAGACCGACGCUGGAUGUCAAUGAGGACGUG